GAUGAACGCUGGCGGCGUGCUUAACACAUGCAAGUCGAACGAAGCACUUUAUUAUGAUUUCUUCGGAAUGACGAUUUAGUGACUGAGUGGCGGACGGGUGAGUAACGCGUGGGUAACCUGCCUUAUACAGGGGGAUAACAGUUGGAAACGGCUGCUAAUACCGCAUAAGCGCACGGCAUCGCAUGAUGCAGUGUGAAAAACUCCGGUGGUAUAAGAUGGACCCGCGUCUGAUUAGCUUGUUGGUGAGGUAACGGCCCACCAAGGCGACGAUCAGUAGCCGGCCUGAGAGGGUGAACGGCCACAUUGGGACUGAGACACGGCCCAAACUCCUACGGGAGGCAGCAGUGGGGAAUAUUGCACAAUGGGGGAAACCCUGAUGCAGCGACGCCGCGUGAGUGAUGAAGUAUUUCGGUAUGUAAAACUCUAUCAGCAGGGAAGAUAAUGACGGUACCUGACUAAGAAGCACCGGCUAAAUACGUGCCAGCAG
RNAcentral lists this ribosomal RNA (487 nucleotides) under uncultured bacterium. Its description in RNAcentral is "bacterial SSU rRNA". It matches the Rfam family "Bacterial small subunit ribosomal RNA", at positions 28 to 514 of the family's 1533-position model. The record is from RNAcentral.